RNAcentral lists this long non-coding RNA (469 nucleotides) under Mus pahari (shrew mouse). RNAcentral's name for it is "predicted gene 15638 (MGP_PahariEiJ_G0002402.1)". The record is from RNAcentral. Lineage: Eukaryota; Metazoa; Chordata; Mammalia; Rodentia; Muridae.
GGUUCACGGCUUUCUCCCAGGUGAAUCCUUCUCUAAAAACAUGGGUGAUGUUGGCCUCUCCAGUACAGGACACACUCAGAAUUACAAAUCUAAGAACCAUUCUGGAACUUUCUUAGGCUAUGAAGAAGUCUACCAUGCGUAUCUUCCCUGUGACCUCUUCGGCUUGGUCUCUGGAUGUCCUCUCCCCUUGUGACAUGAUUGCAUCCUAACUACGAGUUUUCAGCUGCUCACACUGUGAAAUCAAAUAAAAUCCCCACAAUGUGGCCCCAUGAAUGAAAGCCCCCCUUCCACAGAAACUCACUGGCACACCAACCAAGGGCACUAUCCAAGAUUCUUCUUAAGAAAUGCAGCCUCCAAAACAGAGGCCAGUGGUGGCCAAUGAUGGCCCUGAUCAGGUAGAAUUCUCUGUAGGAAGGUAUUGUUGGUAGUGUUGUGGUUCUAUAUCAUGAACAAAAGACUGUGAGCGCUA